UGUGCUCAAUGGUGUGGAGGGCUUUACCUCUGACGGACUGAGUCGUUCCCACAACUUUUUGCAGGAUUUUCCAUUGCAACCAGUUAAUAUAUUCUGCACCACACAUCUAUAGAAGUCUGUGAAAGUUUUAAAUGUUAUGCCAAUUAUCUCCAAACUUCUAAGGAAGAAAAGACUCUGCCAAACUUCCCUCAUAAUGGAACUUUCAAUCUCCCUCCUACGUGCUGAUUCGUCACCACCUUUGAUUCAGCUAAUAACAGUGGUGUCAUCAGCAAACUUGAACAUGGUGUUGGAGCUGUGCUUAGCCUCAUAGUCAUCAGUGUAAAGACAGCAGAGCAGGGGGCUAAGUAGACAAAUCAGGUGCAAGAGCCAUGACGAGGUAGAUUGAGAGAUUGAGAGAUUAAAAGUUUACCUUUAUUGUACAAGAGGUCUGCUCACGAAUCUUAUAGGAGCAAGAUAAAAACUGUUUUCAAGCUCUUGUGUCUUCUGCCCAAUGGAAGGAGUUAAAGAGUUAAUGUCUGGGGUGGGAGGGGUCUUUGAUUCUGUGCACUUCUUUCCAAGGCAGAGAGGAAGUGGAAGAUGGCAAACCAAGAUAAUGAAGACAUUAGUAUACUCUGCCUGUAGAGAAGUGCAACUGAAAGUUUGGACAAGUAAAGGUGCUCCUUCCAGCUUCAGAAACUGUACCGAACAAAGACCCGGUGAAACCUGUAGGGAAGCAGAUAUCGACUUGAGCAUCGAGGACAUCUUCAAAAGGUCAUUCCUCAAGAAGGCAGUAUCCAUCAUUAAAGACCCCCGUCACCCAGGACAUGCCCUCUUCUCGUUGCUACCAAUAAUGAGGAGCUACAGGAGCCUGAAGACACACACCCAACGUUUCAGGAACAGCUUCUUCCCCUCCACCAUCAGAUUUCUAAAUGGACAAUAAACCCAUGUUCACUACCACACUAUUUUUAAAAAAUUUCUUUCAUCUCUUUGGCACUACUUAUGUAAUUUAUUAUAUAUAUUUCUUAUUGUAAUUUAUGGUUUUUAAUAUCAUGUUUUGCAAUGCACAAAACAACAAAUUUCACGACAUACU
This is a long non-coding RNA of Mobula hypostoma (lesser devil ray), 1069 nucleotides long. RefSeq lists it as uncharacterized. The record is from RefSeq and is a predicted model, not a curated record. The transcript has 3 exons. NCBI's taxonomy places the organism in Eukaryota, Metazoa, Chordata, Chondrichthyes, Myliobatiformes, Myliobatidae.